GGAUGCGAUCAUACCAGCACUAAAGCACCGGAUCCCAUCAGAACUCCGAAGUUAAGCGUGCUUGGGCGAGGGUAGUACUAGGAUGGGUGACCUCCUGGGAGAAGUCCUCGUGUUGCAUUCC
Molecule: ribosomal RNA, 121 nt
Filed under: Aegilops tauschii subsp. strangulata
Lineage: Eukaryota; Viridiplantae; Streptophyta; Magnoliopsida; Poales; Poaceae
Source: RNAcentral